Long non-coding RNA from Amblyraja radiata (thorny skate), 293 nucleotides. RefSeq lists it as uncharacterized. The transcript is spliced from 2 exons. Lineage: Eukaryota; Metazoa; Chordata; Chondrichthyes; Rajiformes; Rajidae. The record is from RefSeq and is a predicted model, not a curated record.
CGCUGGGAUGCGAUGAAUCUGAGAUUCAUUCAACGACACUUCUGCCAUGCUUUUUUAACUUUAAUGGGAAAGCGAGAGUGGAAGAUUUAAGGAAGUUCAACAAUUGAUCAGCAAUGAUCCCCCACUGCAGGUCUGGGGGAAGUGCUGAUCCUGGCAUCUUUCAUACCGAAGACCAGAACAAAUAGUCCUCCUCAUCCAUCUGUCUCAAAAUGUGAAACAUCCUGUGGGAACUAUUUCGGCAUCUAGGACAGAGUUUAUCCUCCAAGCAACAUCAAUAAAAUCGAAUAAACUCA